GGUCAAGUGAAGAAGCGCAUACGGUGGAUGCCUUGGCAGUCAGAGGCGAUGAAAGACGUGGUAGCCUGCGAAAAGCUUCGGGGAGUCGGCAAACAGACUUUGAUCCGGAGAUGUCUGAAUGGGGGAACCCAGCCAUCAUAAGAUGGUUAUCUUGUACUGAAUACAUAGGUGCAAGAGGCGAACCAGGGGAACUGAAACAUCUAAGUACCCUGAGGAAAAGAAAUCAACCGAGAUUCCCUUAGUAGUGGCGAGCGAACGGGGACUAGCCCUUAAGCUUCUUUGAUUUUAGCGGAACGCUCUGGAAAGUGCGGCCAUAGUGGGUGAUAGCCCUGUACGCGAAAGGAUCUUAGAAGUGAAAUCGAGUAGGACGGAGCACGAGAAACUUUGUCUGAAUAUGGGGGGACCAUCCUCCAAGGCUAAAUACUACUGACUGACCGAUAGUGAACUAGUACCGUGAGGGAAAGGCGAAAAGAACCCCGGAGAGGGGAGUGAAAUAGAUCCUGAAACCGUAUGCGUACAAGCAGUGGGAGCCCACUUUGUUGGGUGACUGCGUACCUUUUGUAUAAUGGGUCAGCGACUUAUUUUCAGUGGCGAGCUUAACCGAAUAGGGGAGGCGUAGCGAAAGCGAGUCUUAAUAGGGCGUCUAGUCGCUGGGAAUAGACCCGAAACCGGGCGAUCUAUCCAUGGGCAGGUUGAAGGUUGGGUAACACUAACUGGAGGACCGAACCGACUACCGUUGAAAAGUUAGCGGAUGACCUGUGGAUCGGAGUGAAAGGCUAAUCAAGCUCGGAGAUAGCUGGUUCUCCUCGAAAGCUAUUUAGGUAGCGCCUCAUGUAUCACUGUAGGGGGUAGAGCACUGUUUCGGCUAGGGGGUCAUCCCGACUUACCAAACCGAUGCAAACUCCGAAUACCUACAAGUGCCGAGCAUGGGAGACACACGGCGGGUGCUAACGUCCGUCGUGAAAAGGGAAACAACCCAGACCGUCAGCUAAGGUCCCAAAGUUAUGGUUAAGUGGGAAACGAUGUGGGAAGGCUUAGACAGCUAGGAGGUUGGCUUAGAAGCAGCCACCCUUUAAAGAAAGCGUAAUAGCUCACUAGUCGAGUCGGCCUGCGCGGAAGAUGUAACGGGGCUCAAACCAUACACCGAAGCUACGGGUAUCACUUAGGUGAUGCGGUAGAGGAGCGUUCUGUAAGCCUGUGAAGGUGAGUUGAGAAGCUUGCUGGAGGUAUCAGAAGUGCGAAUGCUGACAUGAGUAACGACAAUGGGUGUGAAAAACACCCACGCCGAAAGACCAAGGUUUCCUGCGCAACGUUAAUCGACGCAGGGUUAGUCGGUCCCUAAGGCGAGGCUGAAAAGCGUAGUCGAUGGAAAACAGGUUAAUAUUCCUGUACUUCUGGUUAUUGCGAUGGAGGGACGGAGAAGGCUAGGCCAGCUUGGCGUUGGUUGUCCAAGUUUAAGGUGGUAGGCUG
RNAcentral lists this ribosomal RNA (1470 nucleotides) under Pseudomonas brassicacearum. RNAcentral describes it as "partial 23S ribosomal RNA". It matches the Rfam family "Bacterial large subunit ribosomal RNA", at positions 1 to 1527 of the family's 2925-position model. Lineage: Bacteria; Pseudomonadati; Pseudomonadota; Gammaproteobacteria; Pseudomonadales; Pseudomonadaceae. The record is from RNAcentral.